RNAcentral lists this small nuclear RNA (172 nucleotides) under Pelecanus crispus (Dalmatian pelican). Its description in RNAcentral is "U2 spliceosomal RNA". It matches the Rfam family "U2 spliceosomal RNA". From Rfam's summary of the family: U2 is a small nuclear RNA (snRNA) component of the spliceosome (involved in pre-mRNA splicing). Complementary binding between U2 snRNA (in an area lying towards the 5' end but 3' to hairpin I) and the branchpoint sequence (BPS) of the intron results the bulging out of an unpaired adenosine, on the BPS, which initiates a nucleophilic attack at the intronic 5' splice site, thus starting the first of two transesterification reactions that mediate splicing. Lineage: Eukaryota; Metazoa; Chordata; Aves; Pelecaniformes; Pelecanidae. The record is from Rfam by way of RNAcentral.
UAUCCUUCUUGGCCUUUUGGCUAAGAUUGUCAUGUCUGUUCUUGUCUGUUUAAUAUCUGAUAGGUCUUUGCUGUGAGGACUUGCUAUUAAAUAGCUCUGUGGAGCUGGAUGACAGCCUGUGGGCUUGCUCUGUCACCAAAACUCUGCACCAAAAACCCCUUAGUGACCCACU